UCAGGUCUCCAAGGUGAACAGCCUCUGGCCAAUGGAACAAUGUAGGCAAGGGAAGUCGGCAAAACGGAUCCGUAACUUCGGGAAAAGGAUUGGCUCUGAGGACUGGGCUCGGGGGUCCCGGCCCCGAACCCGUCGGCUGUCGGCGGAUUGCUCGAGCUGCUCACGCGGCGAGAGCGGGUCGCCGCGUGCCGGCCGGGGGACGGACCGGGAAUCGCCCCUUCGGGGGCUUUCCCCAAGCAU
RNAcentral lists this ribosomal RNA (240 nucleotides) under Triticum aestivum (bread wheat). RNAcentral describes it as "partial small subunit ribosomal RNA". It matches the Rfam family "Eukaryotic large subunit ribosomal RNA", at positions 1859 to 2095 of the family's 3401-position model. The record is from RNAcentral. Lineage: Eukaryota; Viridiplantae; Streptophyta; Magnoliopsida; Poales; Poaceae.